UCCUGAUUAUUUCCAUAUGUUAAUUGAUCUACCAAACAACGAGAUGUAUGCUGCUGUCAUCGGAGAUAAAUUUGUAGGAUUUACUUUAAUGACAACUGUAGAUGAUGGGAGAAGUAUAGUUACUAGGGCAGUUAGAGACUCCAAAGAAUACGCUGGUAAAGGAAUUGCUGAAAUAAUGUUGAAAUGGAUGGAUAUAGGAGAACCUCUUUACCGACCGUAAGUAAUAUGGCAUAAAAUUACAGGAAAUAGAACACACUCACCACUACUUCAACUGAUUAACAAAGGAACAUACAACAAAAUAUCACAACAAGAUUUUCUAGUUUACGACACGCAUAAAAGAACCCUAGAGAUAAAGAACAAUGUCAUAGAGAAUGAAAAUCAAUCUUUAAAAGCUGAAUAUAUUGAUGUCAAUCUGC
This is a long non-coding RNA of Mytilus californianus (California mussel), 416 nucleotides long. RefSeq lists it as uncharacterized. Lineage: Eukaryota; Metazoa; Mollusca; Bivalvia; Mytilida; Mytilidae. The record is from RefSeq and is a predicted model, not a curated record. The transcript has 3 exons.